This 1309-nucleotide long non-coding RNA is filed under the name Homo sapiens (human). RNAcentral's name for it is "HSALNT0357372". Lineage: Eukaryota; Metazoa; Chordata; Mammalia; Primates; Hominidae. The record is from RNAcentral.
UGUAGAUGUUGUAUCCCUGCUUUUUCUGAAUAAUUUUAUUACCCUAUGCAAUAGGAGCUGUUAUCACUGCAGAACCAAGGUCACCUGUGGAAGCUCCUUGCUGAAGCCAGUUUUCUAUCAGAUCAUCCAUCAGGCCUAGCAGUCCCUUUUGUACAGACCACACAACUGGUGCCAAUGGCGUCGCUGCCUGACUUUAAACUGUCCUGCCACUAGGAACCCUCACUGUCCAGCUCCAUAGUGCAACCAGAAGGAGGUGAGGUUUUGGCAUCUUCAGGGAGUAUCCUCAGUCUUCCUAUGUUUUGGAAUGAGUUCCAUUUCGCUGCAAAAAGAGGAGCUUCUGGGAUGAUAAAAUGAGGCAUAUCCUGCACCACUACAUGUGUCCAUACAUGAUCUGAGCAGGAAGAGCAGUGGACAAGGAGUCUGGAAUGCUGGCUCAAGUUCUGAGUCAGCCACAGCCUGCUGUGUGACUCUGAGUGAGUCACUAAGCUUCCCUGGAUUCAGUUUCCUCAACAGUCAAAUUUCUAUGGCCUUUUGGGCACCACCAUGCAUGAGAACACAAAGAGAGCAUGAUUACUCAGGGGUGUGUGCAUGUGUGAGGCCCAUCAAUGAGAGAGACAACAUUUAGAUAGGAGUACUGGACAUUUGAAAAUUCUUACACCCUGUGAUGUGACAUGGAGAAGUGACCAACACAACUUUGCCAACUAUACUCCAUUCUUAGUAACUGCCGAUUAGGAAGGAUUUCUUUCUAAGUCUGUCACUAAUUCAACUGUUAUUCACAAGAGAAGUAGAGGCAAAUGAUAGCAGCUUGAUCGUUGAUUUUUGAUUUAGAUGAUCAAUGAUGUUCAGAAUAGUGUUUGUAUGUGUGAGCAUGGAUGUGUAUGUCGUGUGUGUGUCUGUGUAUGUGGUGUGUGUGUCUGUGUAUAUUGUGUGUGUGUGUGUGCAUGCGUGUGUGCAGGGUAGGUAUCACCACAUUCCCUGUGGUGGUGUGUCUCUUCUCUGGGAUUGGUUCUUCUAGAAUCUCCCACCUUUUAGAACCACUUUAAGAUAUUUAUUUAUUCUCUCCAACCAUCCUGGCAAUCUUUUUAUCCUUAAACAGGAAUAAAUUCCUACAGCUGAAUCUAUUCAGGAUUUCUGUGUGUAUGUGUGAAAAUUUAUAUGAUGCUCAAUCCUUUAAAAAUCUUUUAUUCAAGUAACUUUAAAAGUAAAACACAAGGUGUUUUAUCAUAAAAAGUGAGAGAUGUUAGUCCACUUAAUUUCUUGCUUGCUUUCUUUUGUGUCCCUAGAUUACUUAGCCUCUGUUUCCAGCCAG